Molecule: transfer RNA, 87 nt
Filed under: Deltaproteobacteria bacterium HGW-Deltaproteobacteria-4
Lineage: Bacteria; Deltaproteobacteria
Description: tRNA-Leu
Rfam family: tRNA
About the family: Transfer RNA (tRNA) molecules are approximately 80 nucleotides in length. Their secondary structure includes four short double-helical elements and three loops (D, anti-codon, and T loops). Further hydrogen bonds mediate the characteristic L-shaped molecular structure. tRNAs have two regions of fundamental functional importance: the anti-codon, which is responsible for specific mRNA codon recognition, and the 3' end, to which the tRNAs corresponding amino acid is attached (by aminoacyl-tRNA synthetases). tRNAs cope with the degeneracy of the genetic code in two manners: having more than one tRNA (with a specific anti-codon) for a particular amino acid; and 'wobble' base-pairing, i.e. permitting non-standard base-pairing at the 3rd anti-codon position.
Source: RNAcentral
GGGGGUGUGGUGAAAUAGGUAGACGCACUGGACUCAAAAUCCAGCGGGCGCAAGCCCAUGUCGGUUCGAUUCCGACCACCCCCACCA